RNAcentral lists this long non-coding RNA (1421 nucleotides) under Ananas comosus (pineapple). Its description in RNAcentral is "long non-coding RNA (ACOM_LNC007267)". Lineage: Eukaryota; Viridiplantae; Streptophyta; Magnoliopsida; Poales; Bromeliaceae. The record is from RNAcentral.
UUCGAUUCUACAAGCUCCGGAAGGAGAUUCAGCGUGUGGAUCUCGCGUGAAGCCAAGGAUUCGGUGGACGCUUCGAGGAGUUGAGGCGUUGACGCUGCAAGGAGUUGCGGCGAGGUCGAUUGGAGGAUUCNAUAAACUUAGAAAAGAAGUUUUGAAGGCGCUAGUUGAGAAGUUCUGAGGUAAGUUGAAAUGCUUUAGGCGGUUGGAUAUUUUAGGAAUUGUUAGAGGGGGAAACCGCUAAAGCACUGUUUUAUAUGAUGGUACGAGCAUGUGUUGAGUCUUUGUUAUUUUUCUUCUAGUAGCGUUAGUGGUUUGCUGCUAGAGGACGUACUAGCUAGGUUAUUUUCUUUUAAUAUAAAAAGUGUUGGAAUUAUGUCUGAGAUACUAAAUCUGUGAUCCUCAGAACUUCAGAACUAAAGGACGUUUUGUUAAAUAGAUUCUUUAAUGUAGUUUUGUAAUCUAAGAAUAUGACAUUCCUGACUCUAAAAACUGUCACGUUGAUUUGAGAGACAACUACUACAAAUACACACAUUAAAUUAAUGUAUUCGUGAGCAGUUCAAAAUCCGAAGAACAAAGACUCAUUCGGAAAGCUCGGCACCUCAGGUAUGAAGAAUAGAUCAUUUGUGGUGAAGGUACUUAAUUGGAAUAAGUUCAGAAGCCCUAAAUUACUUUAAAACUCUUUUACUGAACUUUUCUGUGUUUUGAAACCGAUCCCAGAGUUGAAGAGACCGGAUCCCCUAAGGUCCUCACUGCGUGAAUUUUGAUGCACUCCUAGUCUACUUCUAAGUCUUCUAAACAUCUAAAUAAGCCAUGGGGGUCAUCUUAAAGUUUAAGGCUUUGAAUUUCUACUCAUUCUAAACCCUAGAAACUUGUUUUUUCCGUUCUUAUGGUUCUAUUUCAAUAAUAAGUUUCUAAUAAUCAACGAUCGACUUGAUUCUUUAUUUUUUUUUUAUUUGUGAACUUAUACGAGAAUCAAGUAGAUGUUUGAUUAAAAGGUAGACCCUCAUCGCUUAUGGGAUUCUAAGGCUUAAUCACCACAAAUCUUCGAUUCUACAAGCUCUGGAAGGAGAUUCAGCGUGUGGAUCUCGUGUGAAGCCGAGGAUUCGGUGGACGCUUCGAGGAGUUGAGGCGUUGACGCUGCAAGGAGUUGCGGCGAGGUCGAUUGGAGGAUUCCUAUCGAUCGAGGACCGGCGAAGAUCACCAUCAACGGGAAUUCGGUAAAUUGAGUCGUGUAUUUUUGUCAAAAUCACUUAUACUCAAGUUUUCUUAGUGGAUUUUUUUCGCGUGAUCGGUCCCGUGGGUUUUUCACUCUGAAUUGGAGUUUUCCCACGUUAAAUUCUCGGUGUGUUGUUUUAUUUUUCGCUAUUUCAUUUUAUUUGCAUCGAGAUUUUUGAGUUUGCCGUUUUUACACCUAUUCACCC